UCCCAUGCUCCUCCACCCCCACUACCACCGCCCUAAAUCCCUCACCCACUCUUUGUCAUCCUUUUUCAUUUGAUCCUCACAGCUGAAACUGAAGGUCCCUAUGACUUCGAUUACACUUCGUUUUAAACCCUAGAAAUCAUACACAGCUCAGAGAUCUCGCCCCCCUUCCUCACCCUUCACCAUCCGCCACCUCCAGGCAGCAGAAGACAGUAGCCAGGACUGACUAAUGCCACACAGCCAGGACACAGGCGCAAGUUACGUUUCAUCUGGACCUAAGUUACGUUUCAGCUCCUGAGCCCUCAGGUGGACCAACCCCUCUAGCCUCUUUCCCAGGAGAAAGAGAAACACAGCAAAAGAUCUCGGAACUGUCCUCCAGACCUGAAGAGAUGAUUUAUUGCCCUGCCCUCACUCCCCACCAGCCAGCUCCCAGCACACCCCAUCCCACAACCCACAGGGUCUUGUGAUGGUGCCCCAAAUGGUCUGGAACCGACACACCAUGGAGGAGUCAGGUUUUUCAAGCAUAAGCUCCCGUCUCCGCAUUGGCCAAUUCAGUAUUAGCUACUUUUCUUUCUAUGCAAACUCCUGCUCAUGUGUGUCUGGGCCAGUGCGGGCAGGCAGGCCGAAUCGAGGAGAAAACACUGGGGUUCCGGUAACAGGGCCACGCUGCGAUCCCAAAGCAGAAACAGCAGCUGCCGUUGUGGGGCUCCCAUCAGCCGGUGCCUGGCCUCCAGGCCUCCUUGCCAUUUGAUCCCCAGGAAAUCUCUGUGAGUGGAAUCGUGAUGAAGACGGGUGAGACUCUAUGGGCCUGGAUCACCUUCUGGCAAACUCUGCACCUUUAUCACCGCCUCUGAGAAGCCUGCCCUGAUUCCUCCAGGGAAGCCAGCCAUCAGGUUGUGAGCUGCCCUAUAGAGAGGCUCACGUGGGAAGAAUGGAGGGAGCGCCCUGCCCAACAGCCACAGGGGAAACCAGGCCCGCAGCCCAGUAGCCCAGGAGAAAGUGAAUCCUGCCAACAACCAUGGGUGUGAGGUUGGGAUUGGAUCCUUCCCCAAUCGAGCCUUAGGAUGACAUCACAGCCUCCGCCAACAUCUUGACCGUGGCCUGUGAGAGACCCUAAGCCAGAGGACCCAGUCAAGCUGCACCCAGAUGCCCAACACACACAAAAAGUGAGAUAAUAAAUGUCUGUUAUUUUAAGCUGCUUGGUUUUGGG
Long non-coding RNA from Myotis daubentonii (Daubenton's bat), 1207 nucleotides. RefSeq lists it as uncharacterized. Lineage: Eukaryota; Metazoa; Chordata; Mammalia; Chiroptera; Vespertilionidae. The record is from RefSeq and is a predicted model, not a curated record.